RNAcentral lists this ribosomal RNA (483 nucleotides) under uncultured bacterium. RNAcentral describes it as "partial 16S ribosomal RNA". It matches the Rfam family "Bacterial small subunit ribosomal RNA", at positions 28 to 523 of the family's 1533-position model. The record is from RNAcentral.
GAUAAACGCUGGCGGCGUGCUUAACACAUGCAAGUCGAACGGUGAAGCAGAGCUUGCUCUGUGGAUCAGUGGCGAACGGGUGAGUAACACGUGAGCAACCUGCCCCGGACUCUGGGAUAAGCGCUGGAAACGGCGUCUAAUACCGGAUACGAGAUUCCACCGCAUGGUGAGUUUCUGGAAAGAUUUUUUGGUCUGGGAUGGGCUCACGGCCUAUCAGCUUGUUGGUGAGGUAAUGGCUCACCAAGGCGUCGACGGGUAGCCGGCCUGAGAGGGUGACCGGCCACACUGGGACUGAGACACGGCCCAGACUCCUACGGGAGGCAGCGGUGGGGAAUAUUGCACAAUGGGCGGAAGCCUGAUGCAGCAACGCCGCGUGAGGGAUGACGGCCUUCGGGUUGUAAACCUCUUUUAGCAGGGAAGAAGCGAAAGUGACGGUACCUGCAGAAAAAGCGCCGGCUAACUACGUGCCAGCCGCCGCGGUAA